CUUUUGGGGAAAGAACCGCCCCACUUUUCCACAGCCGCACAAACCUUCUCUCUCAUCAGUUCUCAACUUCUCAUCCCUAAAAUCAUACUUUCUCUCCCCAUUGUUCUGCUUCAAAUCUGUUCUGCUUCUGUUCUGCUUCAAAUCUCUUGCUCGAAUACAGAUUUGGUUGAAAACCCAGAUAUGGUAUGUUUCCUAGGUUAUGAAAAUUUGGAAAGCUUUUUUUUUGUACCUUGCUUAAUAAAAGAUUUGUGUUGAACCUUUUUUGGUUUAAAAAUGAGAAACUAGAUUUUUGAAACUAAGAUUGGAACUUGAUAAAGAGAUUUGAAUUCUAGUUCGAUAUUGUUAAUUAUGACUGGAUUUUGAAGGAAAUUUUUUGGAGAUUCUCUCUGCUUCUCACUUCUCGCAGUUUACUCCAUGCUCGGUGAUAUAUUGAAAAAACAUUGGAUACUAUGAAGCAGAAGUUACAAGGACAGGUAAGACUUGGAUGCGGCCUUAGGGAGGUGAGUACAUGUAUGCUCUGCUAUCUCAUGUCUCACACCAAAUCUUUAACUUUAUGCAAAAAGGGAAUUUCUAAAAUAUCAAAUUUCAUAGUGCAUGUAUAAUUACAGACUAUUUUUCUAAGCUGAAAUAUGUUGAUUCUAGAUUGUGUUCUACUAUAAUGAGAAUUAAUUCUCUGUACAAAAGAACAAGGCUUGCAGUAUAACUAAUGACUUGCUGACUAUGUUGAAAAUGACUUUUCAUUCUCCUGCUAUAUUGUAACUGAGUCCAUGCAUUUUUCCAGUCUUACUUCUCCUCGAUUUCUUAAUGUAGCUUGAUUUGGCCUUGUUUUAAAUUUUCAUAUGUUAUCAUUGGCGCAAAGUAUGAGUUUAAUUUCUGAAAUGCAUCAAAGUUUGUCCUAGGCUUUGAAGAUAAUAGCAAGAUGAGAACUUAAGAUACAACACAAAAGGGUGCGUAUAGGUUUUAUAACUCCAUUGCUUGACUGAGUUACAUAUAUAUCUUUGAAUUUAUGUUAGUUCUCCACCUGAUCGACUUAACACAAUGAUGGUUUGCAUCUUAUCUUAAUCACUGAACAUUAUAAUAUUUAUAUUUCUUUUCUUUACGAAUGCAAUGAUUGAUGUUCAAGUUGUGUUUUUUCAAUUUUAGUUUCAAUUAGUUUUAUAUGAAAAUUGGUAGUUUUGUAUUUUUGUUUGAUAUAUAGUGUCCCUCAGAUUAUGUUUUCUCUUCUCGUACAUCUUUACUCCGUGCCCAGGUGUUUUAAAAUUUUCUUUUUGAAUAUGUGGAUAUUAUUUUGGAUUCCAAGUUUCAAUUUCAGUAAUUAAAUUGAGAUUUUAGGUACUAAUACGGUUUGUCAAUUAAAUUCUGAAAUCCAGGGUCAGAUUUAAGUUCAGCAACUUUUUAAGGUAUGUUUAUCUUUGUGUCUUCUAUGAAACUUAAUACUCCGUAUUUGAUUGCAGUCAUGAUUUCUUGCCUUGAAGCAUUCAUUUUUCGUCUAACUAAUAGUCUAUUCUGUUCUCAUAGCCUUGUAUUCUAAAUUUACAGUUUGUCUGCACCAUUUGAAUUUGAUCCCCUUGACAGAUUUAAUCUGAUACUUGAAUUGGUUUGGUAUGGAGAAACCUACAUGGAAAAGAAAAGGUUUACUUUUGACUGCUACCAUUCGUGUGACAUCCGAUUCAUUCUCUUCAUCUCUGAGGGCUUAUAAUAGUUGAGAUUGAAAGCUGAAAGAGCCGUUGCUGAGUAUAAGAGAAGAAUAUAAAUCUGGCAGCUAGACAGUCAUAUAAUGAAGUGAUAGUAAAAGAUCAUUACUGCAUAAGUUUGUUCAGGAUGCAUUUGAAGAUUAUUAUAGUGGUGGAAGAAAAGAAUCAAGGGAUAAUAUAUAGCUCCUGCUACUAUGUAGCUCAUAUUCUUGAAGUUAUAGGCUUUGAGUGACCUUUGUUUUGAAGAUGACAUUUAGAAUAACAAGUUGAAAUUAUAAUAGUAAACGUGAUGUUUUGGUAAUAAAUUUUUGUUUUGGAGAUGCUAGCUAAUUAAAUAGUUUGGAUAAUUUGUAAACAUAAUUCGAUGAUAUGUUUUGGAGCGAGUACAUAUUAUUAUAUAAAUUAAUGUAAUUAGUAUCGUUAAUUAUUUAUCA
Spinacia oleracea (spinach) is the source of this 2128-nucleotide long non-coding RNA. RefSeq lists it as uncharacterized. The transcript has 5 exons. The record is from RefSeq and is a predicted model, not a curated record. NCBI's taxonomy places the organism in Eukaryota, Viridiplantae, Streptophyta, Magnoliopsida, Caryophyllales, Amaranthaceae.